Molecule: ribosomal RNA, 530 nt
Filed under: Coniothyrium sp. PQV05
Lineage: Eukaryota; Fungi; Ascomycota; Dothideomycetes; Pleosporales; Coniothyriaceae
Description: eukaryotic LSU rRNA
Rfam family: Eukaryotic large subunit ribosomal RNA
Source: RNAcentral
AAUUUGAAAUCUGGCUCUCUUUGAGGGUCCGAGUUGUAAUUUGCAGAGGAUGCUUUGGCAUUGGCGGCGGUCUAAGUUCCUUGGAACAGGACAUCGCAGAGGGUGAGAAUCCCGUACGUGGGCGCCUGCCUUUGCCGUGUAAAGCUCCUUCGACGAGUCGAGUUGUUUGGGAAUGCAGCUCUAAAUGGGAGGUAAAUUUCUUCUAAAGCUAAAUACCGGCCAGAGACCGAUAGCGCACAAGUAGAGUGAUCGAAAGAUGAAAAGUACUUUGGAAAGAGAGUCAAAAAGCACGUGAAAUUGUUGAAAGGGAAGCGCUUGCAGCCAGACUUGCCCGCAGUUGCUCACCUAGGCUUUGGCCUGGGGCACUCUUCUGCGGGCAGGCCAGCAUCAGUUUGGGCGGUUGGAUAAAGGCCUCUGUCACGUAUCUCCCUUCGGGGUGACCUUAUAGGGGAGGCGCAAUGCAACCAGCCCGGACUGAGGUCCGCGCAUCUGCUAGGAUGCUGGCGUAAUGGCUGUAAGCGGCCCGUCUA